AUUGAACGCUGGCGGCAUGCCUUACACAUGCAAGUCGAACGGCAGCACGGGAGCAAUCCUGGUGGCGAGUAGCGAACGGGUGAGUAAAGUAUCGGAACGUGCCCAGUCGUGGGGGAUAACGUAGCGAAAGUUACGCUAAUACCGCAUACGAUCUAUGGAUGAAAGCGGGGGAUCGCAAGACCUCGCGCGAUUGGAGCGGCCGAUAUCAGAUUAGGUAGUUGGUGGGGUAAAGGCUCACCAAGCCGACGAUCUGUAGCUGGUCUGAGAGGACGACCAGCCACACUGGGACUGAGACACGGCCCAGACUCCUACGGGAGGCAGCAGUGGGGAAUUUUGGACAAUGGGCGAAAGCCUGAUCCAGCCAUGCCGCGUACAGGAUGAAGGCCUUCGGGUUGUAAACUGCUUUUGUACGGAACGAAAAGGUUUGUCCUAAUAAGCUGAGCUCAUGACGGUACCGUAAGAAUAAGCACCGGCUAACUACGUGCCAGCCGCCGCGGUAA
RNAcentral lists this ribosomal RNA (500 nucleotides) under uncultured bacterium. RNAcentral describes it as "partial 16S ribosomal RNA". It matches the Rfam family "Bacterial small subunit ribosomal RNA", at positions 30 to 523 of the family's 1533-position model. The record is from RNAcentral.